RNAcentral lists this transfer RNA (66 nucleotides) under Paegniodes cupulatus. RNAcentral's name for it is "tRNA-Asp". It matches the Rfam family "tRNA". From Rfam's summary of the family: Transfer RNA (tRNA) molecules are approximately 80 nucleotides in length. Their secondary structure includes four short double-helical elements and three loops (D, anti-codon, and T loops). The record is from RNAcentral. Lineage: Eukaryota; Metazoa; Arthropoda; Insecta; Ephemeroptera; Heptageniidae.
AAAGAAUUAGUUAAAUUAACAUUAGUAUGUCAUGCUAAAAUUGUUGGUUCAAUCCAGCAUUCUUUA